Small nucleolar RNA from Cebus imitator (Panamanian white-faced capuchin), 119 nucleotides. NCBI's taxonomy places the organism in Eukaryota, Metazoa, Chordata, Mammalia, Primates, Cebidae. The record is from Ensembl.
AGGACAUUUCAAUGAGGGCUCAUGGGCUGUGAAUUCAAGAGCUAUUAACACUAUGACCAAAAUUCUCUAUAGGAUCCAUAGCACUGAAUAGUGCUAUAUUUCCCUGAGGAAGUAUAAGA